UAGUGGGCCGUGCGGUAGAUUCCAGGCUCGUCGAAUCAGGAGGGUCUCCGGCGUUGACGCAUGCGUGAUUCCUUGCGCGAGGAUGCGCCCCUCGCCAGUGAGCACAUUGUAGAGGAGGACCCAGUGACAAAUACAACUGACAUCCUCUAGAUCUCCAUCACUCAUCUGUUUCUGGGUCCAAGUGACAAGAGUCUCUGCAAGGCAGACCAGGUAUCCCUCUAAUAUCUACAUCCUCCAGCCCUACCUGGGGGAUCCCAAGGCUUUCCCAUCCCAGACUGCAUAUGUAUGAAGUCCGUCCUGCUUGUUCUGGGUCUUCCCUGGGGUUUUCUCCCAGUUGGAUAUGCCCAGAUUUUGUCCAGGAAAGCUGUCACCCAAUCAGAUGCCUGAACUACUUAAACUGUGUCCUGGGGAACGAAAAAAAAAAUGUGUGGUUGAACUCUAAGGUCUUUCGAGUUAUCGGUGCUCCUCACUCUGUCCCUAAGGGUGAGCCGAGACAUAAAAUGAAGGUAGUCAUUUCAGCCGCCUCACUGCCUCAAGCUAAUGACCAUAAGUAAUGUUUGGAAACUAGAUUGCUUGGUUUAAUCAUGAGGUUUGCCUUCAAGCUCAACCUCCUCUUCAUCUUGACAGUCCAGUGGCAAUCCACCUGUCGAUCUCCUGCUCCAUAUUAACCCCACUCAUGCACAGACCUAAUCUCAGCUCACUCCCAAAGCCUUGGCAGUUUAUUCAUCACAGUCGGCAGAAUUAAACAUUGACUUUGUCAGCAGCAGAGAAUUGUUCCAAUCCUUAUGUAGCCAUUUUUCUGGCAACAAAAAGAGGUAUUUUUAGCGAGACAGGGGGACAGGUUGUAAUAUCAUGGUUUGGGUUUUUUGUUUUUCCUGUAUUAUUUUGUAGAUUUUAUCCUCAUGUGUCAUGUUUUACUUUGUACUUCCUGUCUGUUUUGUCCCUUUCUGUCUUCUGUGUUUUGUCAGUUGAUCAACCCCUGUGUAUUUCAGUCGGUCCUGUGUUUGCUACAUUGUGUUACUUUAUAGCUUCUCUUGGUUUUUCCUUUGCCUGCCUUUUUGUCACCUGCCUUUUGAUUGCUUGCAUUUUGGAAUGUAGGUUUGCCAGAAAAACGGUUGGAAAAUGUCCCAGCAUCUCACUAAAAUAUCCACCUAACCUAAUAUCCUAAACUCAUAUCUUUUGUGCCUCAACCUAACCUAACCCUACCAGAUUCAACAUACAGUGUCAAUGUUUUGCAGAAACAUUUAUUCUGGGGAUUGGGUUGGUUUAUCAAUACACUGGUUUGGAAUGGUGGAUCUCAGACGCUUGGUGAAGUGGUCCUAAUAAACUCUUCACUGGAAA
Acanthopagrus latus (yellowfin seabream) is the source of this 1341-nucleotide long non-coding RNA. RefSeq lists it as uncharacterized. The transcript is spliced from 2 exons. Lineage: Eukaryota; Metazoa; Chordata; Actinopteri; Spariformes; Sparidae. The record is from RefSeq and is a predicted model, not a curated record.